Molecule: ribosomal RNA, 744 nt
Filed under: uncultured bacterium
Lineage: Bacteria
Description: bacterial SSU rRNA
Rfam family: Bacterial small subunit ribosomal RNA
Source: RNAcentral
GGGGCGGCAGGCUUGCCUGCCGCCGCCGGCGACCGGCGCUCGGGUGAGUAACACGUAUGCAACCUGCCCGUGGCAGGGGGAUAAGCGGGGGAAACCCCGUCUAAUACCGCGUAACGCGGCCUAGGGACAUCCCAAGGCCGCCAAAGGGAGCAAUCCCGGCCACGGAUGGGCAUGCGGCGCAUUAGCUAGUCGGCGGGGUAACGGCCCACCGAGGCGACGAUGCGUAGGGGUUCUGAGAGGAAGGCCCCCCACACUGGUACUGAGACACGGACCAGACUCCUACGGGAGGCAGCAGUGAGGAAUAUUGGUCAAUGGGCGCGAGCCUGAACCAGCCAAGUCGCGUGAGGGAGGACGGCCCUACGGGUUGUAAACCUCUUUUGCCGGGGAGCAACGGGCGCCACGUGUGGCGCCACUGAGAGUACCCGGAGAAAAAGCAUCGGCUAACUCCGUGCCAGCAGCCGCGGUAAUACGGAGGAUGCGAGCGUUAUCCGGAUUUAUUGGGUUUAAAGGGUGCGUAGGCGGAUCGUUAAGUCAGUGGUCAAAUUGAGGGGCUCAACCCCUUCCCGCCAUUGAAACUGGCGCUCUUGAGUGGAAGAGAAGUAUGCGGAAUGCGUGGUGUAGCGGUGAAAUGCAUAGAUAUCACGCAGAACCCCGAUUGCGAAGGCAGCAUGCCGGCUUCCUACUGACGCUGAAGCACGAAAGCGUGGGGAUCGAACAGGAUUAGAUACCCUGGUAGUCCACGCG